Molecule: ribosomal RNA, 304 nt
Filed under: uncultured bacterium
Lineage: Bacteria
Description: partial 16S ribosomal RNA
Rfam family: Bacterial small subunit ribosomal RNA
Source: RNAcentral
CAGCAGUCGCCGCGGGAAUACAGAGGGUGCGAGCGUUAAUCGGAUUUACUGGGCGUAAAGCGUGCGUAGGCGGCUAAUUGAGUCGGAUGUGAAAUCCCCGAGCUUAACUUGGGAAUUGCAUUCGAUACUGGUUAGCUAGAGUGUGGGAGAGGAUGGUAGAAUUCCAGGUGUAGCGGUGAAAUGCGUAGAGAUCUGGAGGAAUACCGAUGGCGAAGGCAGCCAUCUGGCCUAACACUGACGCUGAGGUACGAAAGCAUGGGGAGCAAACAGGAUUAGAUACCCCUGUAGUCCCUGUCUCUUAUAC